This 406-nucleotide ribosomal RNA is filed under the name uncultured bacterium. Its description in RNAcentral is "partial 16S ribosomal RNA". It matches the Rfam family "Bacterial small subunit ribosomal RNA", at positions 29 to 526 of the family's 1533-position model. The record is from RNAcentral.
AUUGAACGCUGGCGGCAGGCCUAACACAUGCAAGUCGAACGAGUGGCGGACGGGUGAGUAAUGUCUGGGAAACUGCCCGAUGGAGGGGGAUAACUACUGGAAACGGUAGCUAAUACCGCAUACCAUCAGAUGUUCCCAGAUGGGAUUAGCUAGUAGGUGGGGUAAUGGCUCACCGAGGCGACGAUCCCGAGCUGGUCUGAGAGGAUGACCAGCGACACUGGAACUGAGACACGGUGCAGACUCCUACGGGAGGCAGCAGGGGGGAAGAGUGCACAAUGGACGCAAGCCUGAUGCAGCCAUGCGGCGUGUGUGAAGAAGGCCUUCGGGUUGUAAAGCACUUUCAGCGGGGAGGCGUUACUCGCAGAAGAAGCACCGGCUAACUCCGUGCCAGCAGCCGCGGUAAUAC